UAGUCUCUACAUCGCACAGCAGACAGCAGGAAGAUCUGACUUCAACACAGAUCCUAAGCUGUUUGGAUACAUAACUCCCUUGGAGCGAGUUGGAUCCUUGCCUAACAUCCUACAAGAAGACAGCAUACGCAGGAGAACGAUCUGUGGGAAAAAAGUGAGGAAAAGGCUGCGGAGAAAAAGGCCCACCUCCUAGUCUAACUGUUUCUGGAUCGCUGCCGUCAUUGUCUGCCUGCCAAAGGGAGCUUCUCUGUAUAAGAUGAUUUAAGAACAGAAUGGCUGUAGCACCAGGUCAGACUAAGCCUAUAUUUAGGUUAGCCAAUGGCUUGGAUGGCAGCUAAAGAAAGAAUCACAACAUCUAUGAUAUUUGCCCGAAGUAUUCUCUCCAUUUCCUGUCAUCUGUGGCUCAGGAGCCUCCUAGCUUGGACAAGAUUUUGGUUUAACUACAUUCUGUUCCUCCCCGCUAAUCUGCUUCUCACUGUAAAGCAUCAGGUUGCUGUCUUCCCUGAAAGCAUGGGCUUUACUUAGAAAGUUACCAAAGAUCUAUGAAAUGUACUCUGAUUCUGUCAGAAACAGUUACUAGAGACCUUCAACGUCCAACCUCAUCCGCCACAUGAAAUAGCUACCAGAAGCCAUAGGAAGAAAGGAGAACAAAUGAACGGGAGGACAAGUUCCUGCAAAGGAGAAAAACGCAUCCAUCGUAUUUAGCUACUGAAUUGAAUGCCACAAAACAAAAUCUUACUGAAUUUUGUUAGUUGUUUGCCGCAAAUUCUGCUCCUAGUUUAUUCUAGUAACUUUCCAAACUAGAGUGAAUGUCUGGAAAUUCCUUACUUUCCCUUGCUAUAGGAUUGCAACAGGACACUCAAGUAUACAGCAGCUGUAAGUGCUCUAAUAGACAGCUAAUGAAAUCUCAAACUUUUCUCUCCGUUUUCCUGUCAACUGUAUAUUGAGGAAAUAGCUGUUUAGAUGGAAUAACUACAUCAUUUUUAAAUACAGCCACAGCAUCAACUUGUUUUGACUUAGUGUGUAAGAAAAUAAUCCUAUUUAAGCUUACCUUUGCUAAGCAGCACCUCUUCCUUCCCAUUCCCAUUCUUAGAAAACCAGUGCUUGCUGUUUCACAAAAUGAUUUGGCAAGUAGUCAUUUCCCCCUACAAGCUUUUCCAUGUGGUAUCUCUAAUAGGGUUUCAGAGAUAGCCAUGUCCUGUCUACUACAGAAGUUAGAUGUAGUCAAGGGAAAAAAUAACAAACACGCAACAUAUGCACACUUUUUCUGGUUUUGUAUGUUGGGUUCCCCCCAUCAUGUGGUGCUUAUAGCUUGAACUGGACAGUUUCCCUCUUCACUAUAGGAAGAUGCCACGUGAUUUAGGAAUGCUCCCCUCCCUUUUCUUCUGAAUUUGGGAGGGUUUUUUUGUUUUGUUUAAGAAAAUAGGUUUGCGCAAGUU
This is a long non-coding RNA of Rhea pennata, 1439 nucleotides long. RefSeq lists it as uncharacterized. The transcript has 3 exons. The record is from RefSeq and is a predicted model, not a curated record. NCBI's taxonomy places the organism in Eukaryota, Metazoa, Chordata, Aves, Rheiformes, Rheidae.